RNAcentral lists this ribosomal RNA (726 nucleotides) under uncultured bacterium. Its description in RNAcentral is "bacterial SSU rRNA". It matches the Rfam family "Bacterial small subunit ribosomal RNA", at positions 72 to 830 of the family's 1533-position model. The record is from RNAcentral.
AAGGGUAGCAAUACCUGAGUACAGUGGCGCACGGGUGAGUAACACGUGAAUAAUCUACCUCCGAGUGGGGAAUAACUUAGGGAAACCUGAGCUAAUACCGCAUAACACUUACGAGUCAAAGCAGCAAUGCGCUUGGAGAGGAGUUCGCGGCAGAUUAGCUAGUUGGCGGGGUAAUGGCCCACCAAGGCGAUGAUCUGUAUCCGGCCUGAGAGGGCGCACGGACACACUGGAACUGAAACACGGUCCAGACUCCUACGGGAGGCAGCAGUGGGGAAUUUUGCGCAAUGGGGGAAACCCUGACGCAGCAACGCCGCGUGGAGGAUGAAAUCCCUUGGGAUGUAAACUCCUUUCGAUCGGGACGAUUAUGACGGUACCGGAAGAAGAAGCCCCGGCUAACUCCGUGCCAGCAGCCGCGGUAAUACGGGGGGGGCAAGCGUUGUUCGGAAUUACUGGGCGUAAAGGGCUCGUAGGUGGCCAACUAAGUCAGACGUGAAAUCCCUCGGCUUAACCGGGGAACUGCGUCUGAUACUGGAUGGCUUGAGAUUGGGAGAGGGAUGCGGAAUUCCAGGUGUAGCGGUGAAAUGCGUAGAUAUCUGGAGGAACACCGGUGGCGAAGGCGGCAUCCUGGACCAACACUGACACUGAUGCGCGAAAGCCAGGGGAGCGAACGGGAUUAGAUACCCCGGUAGUCCUGGCCUUAAACGAUGGAUGCUUGGUGUCUGGGGU